Non-coding RNA from Phrynosoma platyrhinos (Desert horned lizard), 71 nucleotides. The record is from the annotation of a GenBank genome assembly. NCBI's taxonomy places the organism in Eukaryota, Metazoa, Chordata, Lepidosauria, Squamata, Phrynosomatidae.
ACCAGUGUGGCUUAGUGGUUUGAGUGUUGGAUUAUGACUCUGAACACUAAAGUUCAAUUCCCCCUUUGGUC